GUUGCUAGGCACUGCUGGACUUUCUAUUAAGGGUGAAAAAGGCAGCCCUGGUGAGAGGGGUCCUCCCGGAGUGGGCAGUGGGGUAGCUGCUAAAGGAGAUGCUGGUGAAC
Molecule: long non-coding RNA, 110 nt
Organism: Sinocyclocheilus rhinocerous
Lineage: Eukaryota; Metazoa; Chordata; Actinopteri; Cypriniformes; Cyprinidae
Exons: 3
Source: RefSeq, a predicted model, not a curated record